AAAUGGCUUAAAAUCAAUCAAUUUAUAUUCGUUAUGUAUUUGUUUACCAAUAUAUUUGCAAACGUUAUCCAAAACUUGACAAAGAAAAGCCGAAUGCUUUAGUUUCCGGACUUGGUACAAAAAUCCCAAAGAUUGUCUUAAAUGGAUUGUAUAUGUACCUAAGUAGUCUAAUCCUCAAAUUCUUCCUAUUGGUAAUGUAUCAUUGGAAGAACAUGUUAGAUAAGUCUAUCAUGAAAAGGACAACACAAACAACCAAUGCUUAUUCCUUCGUUAUAUGAACAAAGGAACUUACGAAGAUUAGCAUAAUGACAAGGACACUUUUAGUGUUAUUAGUUCUUCACUUACAAAUCGUUGUAUGAAGAAAUAAGAGUUUCUUUGAACAACCCUUAGUCAAUGCAAACAUUAGUGCUUGUUUCUUUGUUACAUGAACAAGGAACUUGAGAAGAAAGCACAAAGGCAUGGACACUUAAUGUGCCAUGAUUCUUCACUUACAAUUUGUUGUAUGAAGAAAUGAGAGUUGCCUUGAACAACUCUUGAAAGUUUGUAAUUAUGUUUAG
RNAcentral lists this long non-coding RNA (557 nucleotides) under Malus domestica (apple). Its description in RNAcentral is "long non-coding RNA (MDOM_LNC012420)". Lineage: Eukaryota; Viridiplantae; Streptophyta; Magnoliopsida; Rosales; Rosaceae. The record is from RNAcentral.